RNAcentral lists this long non-coding RNA (345 nucleotides) under Ganoderma lucidum. RNAcentral describes it as "long non-coding RNA (GLUC_LNC000022)". The record is from RNAcentral. Lineage: Eukaryota; Fungi; Basidiomycota; Agaricomycetes; Polyporales; Polyporaceae.
GCCCCACGCGCCGUAAGUGCCCUGGAGGCCGCCGACGAGGAAGAGCCAGAUGCCCAUGAGGAGCGUGCCGGCGAGCAGCAUCGGGCGGCGGCCCCACUUGUCGAUGUAGAUGAUCGCGGGGAUGGUGAACACGACGUUGAGCACGUACUGGACCGCGUCGGCGAUGAGGUUGCCGCGGCGGCCGGUGAGGCCCGCGCCCUGGAAGACGUAGAUGAUGUAGUACAUCAUGAUGUUCAUGCCCGAGAGCUGCGACCACAUCUGGAGCGAGGCCCCGAGCGUGACGCGGCGGAAGAUGCCGGGCUUGAAGAGGUCGAGGUACGACUUGGCGCCCUCGGUGCGCUCGAA